RNAcentral lists this transfer RNA (77 nucleotides) under Alphaproteobacteria bacterium. RNAcentral's name for it is "tRNA-Lys". It matches the Rfam family "tRNA". From Rfam's summary of the family: Transfer RNA (tRNA) molecules are approximately 80 nucleotides in length. Their secondary structure includes four short double-helical elements and three loops (D, anti-codon, and T loops). The record is from RNAcentral. Lineage: Bacteria; Pseudomonadati; Pseudomonadota; Alphaproteobacteria.
GGGUGCGUAGCUCAGUUGGAUAGAGCAACUGACUCUUAAUCAGUGGGUCCAGGGUUCGAAUCCCUGCGCGCCUACCA